ACAAGAAACAACCAAUGAGAUCGAGGCAUUCAGUGGUGUGCUGAAAUAUUCCCUCCCUUCUCCCUAAAGCCUUGCUGAUGUCACUGUCAGGAGGAGGAGCCAAAGGAGAGCAGACGCUGCAGUCUCACAACCAUACAGAAGAAACACACACAAGCUGCAGUCUUUAAGAAGAAAUCCACUGAGGCAGAAGACAAUAAUAAACCACAGGUUUUCAUCUUUACACACUGAUUCUUCAAUGUAUGAGGGCUCAAUGAAUGUCUCAAGACCAUUACUGAUACUGAGGAUUGAUACAACUCAUCAAGCAAGAACAUUUGAGCUUGUUUACCAUAUUUGAAGUGUGCUAAUCAGUGUUUACAUGCUAAUGACAGGCAAUCACAUUAAGCAGUUGUGUCUCUAUGUCUGAAUUAAAACAAUUUGACUUGUAUGGGUUGUU
Non-coding RNA from Danio rerio (zebrafish), 433 nucleotides. The record is from RefSeq and is a predicted model, not a curated record. Lineage: Eukaryota; Metazoa; Chordata; Actinopteri; Cypriniformes; Danionidae.